UACCUUUGCAACGCUUUUGGUUCCCGGAUCUACACCCGGGAUUAAAAGGGAAUACGGUGAAAAUCCGUAACUGUCCCGCAACUGUAAGCGCUUAAACGGUUUUCUAAUCUGGCCACUGUUCCACAUAAGGUGUAAUGGGAAGGCGGAAAACCGGGCGCAAGUCAGGAGACCUGCCUUCAGCAUUAAUGAUUU
Molecule: non-coding RNA, 192 nt
Filed under: Pedobacter africanus
Lineage: Bacteria; Pseudomonadati; Bacteroidota; Sphingobacteriia; Sphingobacteriales; Sphingobacteriaceae
Source: RNAcentral